CUCUGGAACUUUAAAACAAAUGCCUGCAUUAGUUAAAGUUUCUGUAUGUGGCAGGCUGGCCAGUCAGCUCACUGGCAGCCCGGACUGUUAGCUUGAGCCUGAAAGGCUCAGCCAUUGUUGGAGACAGUUUUUCCUUCUUCAACAAUCAGAGGAAGGCAGAAAGAAGGCAGCCCCUCCCUGAACCAGGGGUGAGGUGAAAGAGGGGAUCUGAAAGGGAACUAACUCCUCAGGCUUUCUCAUUGGCCCAUUCUCAAUCUGGGAUGGACUAAAAAGAAUAAAAUCUUGGAAGCUGACCACACAGGCAGCUUCAACAUAGGAUGAAGACGGCUGAUAAAGCGCUGGUGUAGCUGACCACUGGGGUGGAGCAGUUGCUCCAGAAGUGCCCAGAAGAUGUCUUCACCAAACAGGAGCAGCAAGUGGCUGCAUCCCAGCCCUGCUAUGGAGAGAGCUGUGACAACAGUGAACAGCUGCUGAACAUCAACUGAAAGACUAAGGAGAUAUACAGGAAUUCUGAAAGUCCAACUUUGAGCUCAGAGGACAAUUACCCAGUGGAAGCACUGAAGAAGACAGCCUUAGGAUGGCCUUCCCCAAGUGCUGUCAUAAAGUGCAUGCUGAGAGCCCAGUUGGAAGAAUAAGAUGGGAUAUUCAGAAACAAAGACAAAGCACAAAGAAUUGUGGCACUCCUGGAUGUGGCUCAAGCCCACUGUGAAACCUAGGUGGCUGCUUAGACAUUCAGGCAGGUCCUCAGCUGUCUACAUUAAAACUAGAAUGUCUUUAGCCCUGAAGCAGCUCAGAAUAAGAAGGCUGUAAAGGUCAUUGAAAGCCACCCACAUCUGGGGCUGUAACAUGUGUAUGUGGAUCUGAACAUUGAGCCUCUGGUUUUAUUAACAGAGCAUUAUAGCCCUAUUAUUUAAAAGUGUGGGGAUGAGGUGAAGGGGGUCUAAAACAAACUUGAUCUUAUUUUAAACUUUUUUAUGUCUUGAAGUAAUUUUAAGAAGCAAAAAGAGCUUUAAUUAAAGGCAAUUGCAAAUGCCAGUUUAAUGUAAACUUUUGCUCUUAAAAUUUGGUUUAAAGAAAAAUAAAUGAGCAAUGUUAAAUUUUAAUUAUUUCAAUAUGCAUGUUUUUGGUCAAGCUUUAUUGAGUGGUCAGGGCAUAUUUAGUCCAUGCCCUUUUAUUAUGUAAGAAAAAUUGUUCUCUCAGAAAUAUGCGCCUCAAAAAUGAUCGUAUGAGUAAGCUGUUAAAAUAUCUAAAAAUCUUUGCCUUUUCCAUAGUGUAUAAUAGCAUAAACUAUAUUCUUAUUAGAUGUAAAAAAGAAGUAGUAAAAUGAGAACCAUUUUUGUUGUAUUACUUUUCAGGUUAUCAGAAUGGAUUUCUAGGAAUGGAUUCUAUUCUUAGUGUGAUCAUAUGCACACCCACCUCUAACUUAAGUUUCAUCACUGCCGAGGAAACCACAGAGCUGUGUUAAAUUUCCUAUUUUAUAAUUUCUGGGUAUUCUGGAACAAAAUUUGGUAGGAGAAGAAAUGGUAUAUGGUUAGCAUAUAGUUGUGUCUGUUUUUAAUGAAUGACAUUUUGUUUGUGCUGGUAAGGGAUAAUGUGGGUUUUUGUUAAGAAAAAAGUCAUUUUCUGAAAACUAUGACAUCUUUGGAAUUUCUCAUCAAUACCUAACACACGAUAAAUAUUUGCCAUAAUUUUAUCUCUCUCAAAGAUACAAUACCUGUAACAUUUUAUAUAUUGCACAUAUUUUUCAUUUUUUUAAAUAAAACCAGGCAGCUAAGCAAGCAAAACAAUCACAGUUAAAAUAUAAAAAUAAAAUCUGAUCCAGCUUUUGUAUGCUCAGAAAAAUACCAGGAAGUUAAUGAAUAUCUAUCUUCAUAUGCUCAUGUUUCUUCUUACUUUAAUACAAAGUAAAUUGAAAUGCAUGAUAUGGCUGUCUUUUUAAUAUAUUUCUAAGGCUUUCUGUUUUAUGUAUAGUUAACACACACUUUUAUAUUUAAAGAUUUUAAUGAUAUUUUUUGUUCCUUAAUAUAACACUCAGUACUUAGGUUUGUAGACUCAACCCUGUAAGUCAGAGGCUGUGGCUACAAGAGAUGCUGACUGCGCAGUUGUUACUGUACAGUCAUUUAGUACUUGCAUACACAAGUACUAAAUAACUAAAUAACCCCAGAAUCCCUGCCCCUCUUAUUUCUCUCUCUUCAUAUCAUAUUUUGGGAGACAACGUCCUUAACAGAAAUAUUCAUCUAGGGAACAAGAUUUAACAUUUGGCCAGAAAAUUCAUUGACUGUUCAUAGGGUUUAAUUCUGUAUUUUUUUCUUUAAUUUUUCUCUUUUGUGUUGCUUUUAUUCUGCAGAACAGGGGUUUUUUUCUGAAACGUGAAGGUAUAAUUUUUGUGUCCAGAAAGGGGUUUUUUUCUUUUUGUCAAAAUGUUGUGGUUGUACUCACUGUGUUAUUUGGAGGCUUUUUUUCCCAUGGAAUCUGGCCAUUCUGGUGCCAGUUUGCAAUUUGCUUUGUAUAAGAAAGAUUUUCAGUCACAGAUGUACCCUAUAGGACAAAAGUACAGAAGACAAAAAUAAAUGUGUUUCCAAAGGCAGGGAUGUUUAUAUAAAGAGUUUGCAGAAAUGUGAAUCAUGGUAAGAAUACAAAUAUCCUGUAAAGCCACGCUAACCACUUUAAAAGUUUAGUAAAAGAACAUUUAACAGAAUACCUAUUCUUCCCCCAAAAUGUAACUUAUAGUACCAGUAUUUUUCUGCACUUCUAAACAUCAUAUCAAAAACCAAACUGAAGUAAGACUAAUUUCUGAACCUGAUUGAAAAGCAUCAGUGCAGUGUUUUGUCAUCAUGUUUCAUUUUGUUACUGUAGAAAUUUGACCACGGAAUAGCUGUGGAAUGCUGACCUCUCACCUAACCCCAGCUUGUGCUAGGGUACUGCAUACAUAUAUAAUGCCUGUAAUAUGACAAAAUAUGACUCCCUGCCCAAAAGAGUUGGUAUCCUAAAUAGCUUUGCCAAUCUAACAAAUGCACACAUUGAUUUUUUUAUAUGACUGUAAGUAGCAUUAUUUGCAUGCUUUACAUUUAAGCCUUUGUACAGUUGAACACUUAGAAACAAAUAGAGUCCUCUUCCAUCUUUAUCAUCAGUGAUACAAUUCAGCAAUGCUCACCAAAUAGCAUGGUGAUGCUGAUGGUUGUUCAACGUUAUUAGUUCAAUGGAAAUGCAAGGUCAAAAUUAAAACUCUUGCAGUUACUAUAUGGGUGGUUUAAGCCAUAGUAACUGUGUAGAACAACACUAUCACCACUUAUCCCCUUUGUGUAAGGAAAAUACCUGGAUUUCAUAGGGCAUGGCCUAGAGUAGUUACCCCAGCUCUGUCUCAGCCUCUGUUAAAAGGAUUGUUGCCUGGAGGGAAAGACCAUGAUUUAGGGAAGGUCUCAAAGUCCCAGUGACACUUGACUCUUGAAGUUCUGGGCAGCUGGACUAAAUCCAGUUAGCCUAGGACUGAAGGAUGCAAAGGUAACUGCAUCCUGUCCUGAGUUCUGUGUUCUGCCUUGAGGAACUGAACCGCCAUUUCUACUACAGAUGUGGAGCUUUUGAAUUUCCUAACUCUCCCUCUUUCCCCUGUUCUGCACUUGUUAUGCCAUGCUCAGCAGUUGCAAAAAACAGACUUCUGGACCAGGAGAAGUGAAUAAAGAAUAUCUCAAGGGCCUGUCAAUCCUAGUUCUUAAUUGACUCCAGGGGUCAUAAUUAAGCAAUGGAAUAUUUUCCCUCCUCUCUAGGGGAAUCUAUUGCCUCCACAGCAUUCCUAGACCCUGCCAUACCAGUGAGUGAGAGCCUGAGUAUGUUUUGUUUUCACAAUGGUUUAAAUGAUUGGAUAUUUUGGAGUGCACAGGAAGACUCUGUAGACUGAACUAUCAAUAUUUGCCCAUAUUUAGUACUGUUUUUCAUUCAAGCAUAGCAUGUUUUCAGUUCAAUUCUGCAAUGCCCCUUACUGGGUUCCAGAGGAGAUCACCUCCACCACCCCCAAUUACUCAGACAUGCAAUAGAGAAUGUAAAUCCCCCCUCAGUGGCCAUUUAACUUAAAUAUGAUACAAUAAAAACAGUGCUGCAUGUCAAAAGGGAAAAAGUUUCCUAUUGUAUAAUACCUGAGCACAUUUAAACAGUUUUUGCUAAUGGAAAUAGUAAGGGAAUCUGUCCAGGUUUAAUUAAUAAGCAAAUUUAAAGAAAAAGUUCACCAGAUGAAGGGAGCUAGCAUAAAGGACUCUAUAGAAUCCAAGUAUCUGUCAGGGCAAUAUGAGACAAGGGAUAACAACCAGAGUUUGAAUUAAAGAUGAAAGAAAGAUGGCAAUAUGCAGUAGUGUAACAAAGGGGUGGAUACCCCAGGUACCAGACCCAGGCACCCACUUAGAGGGAGUGCAAGAACGAUAUCCACUGCUACUACCAGUCCAGUCCCUGCUUCCAAUGCUGCCCCCUAAGUUAUGUAUCUGGUGAUAGAUCAUUAUAUACAAACUAAACUUUGAUGCUUUAAGCCAUCAGACGAACCACCCACAGUAGCUUGCACAAGUUCACAGGAUAUUGUGCAUUCCUUUUGAACACACCUUCAUUGGGUUUUAAACGUGCCCAUCGUAUCUGAUAUGCCCCUUGGGCUUCGUUCUUUCUUGCCUGGGGCUGAAUGGAUGAAGAAGUGGCAUAACAUUUUACAAAAAGGCCAAGAACUUCUAGCAAAAAAAAAAAAAAUUAGAUCACUCAGUAAAUUCUGCAGAUCAAUGACUUCAGCUCUGCCUUCUUAAAAGAGGAAUGGAUUAGUUAAUAAUGUUGACAAUAUAAAUUAUCUGUACAAGUUGUAGUAGUCAUUUUCAGGAAACUUAAAAAACAAAUAAAUGGUUUUCAUUUCAUAUGAAAAUGGUACUUUUUAAUAACUUUUUUCAAUAAAAAAUUUGAAAGACUUUUUUUCAUUAAAUAAAAAAGAGGUAUUUCCCAUUUGCUUUUACUUCUUA
This is a long non-coding RNA of Alligator mississippiensis (American alligator), 4982 nucleotides long. RefSeq lists it as uncharacterized. The transcript is spliced from 2 exons. The record is from RefSeq and is a predicted model, not a curated record. Lineage: Eukaryota; Metazoa; Chordata; Crocodylia; Alligatoridae.